GUCUGGUGAAAAUCACACCCCUACCCCCACCCGGGCUUUGGGCAUAGCUGCAGGUUAGAUUUAGUACCUGGAGCAUCCAGGGGCCUCAGUUCACCACCCACUGCUGCGGUGGGAGGGUAAAAACCACCCUCCAACCCCA
Heterocephalus glaber (naked mole-rat) is the source of this 139-nucleotide small nucleolar RNA. The record is from Ensembl. NCBI's taxonomy places the organism in Eukaryota, Metazoa, Chordata, Mammalia, Rodentia, Bathyergidae.